AAAAAAAACAAACCCUGGUUUCCGUGUCCAACUUUUGACCAUCCGUCUUAUUUAAAAAAAUUAUAAAAAAAUUAAAAAGACAAGUUACGCAUAAAAUAUUAAUCAUGUUUUAUCAUCUAACAACAAUAAAAAUUCAAAUUAUAAAAAAAUUUCAUAUAAGACGGACAGUCAAAGUUGGACACGGAAAUCUAGAGCUUAUCUUUUU
This is a microRNA precursor of Oryza sativa Indica Group (long-grained rice), 205 nucleotides long. It matches the Rfam family "MIR812 microRNA precursor family". Lineage: Eukaryota; Viridiplantae; Streptophyta; Magnoliopsida; Poales; Poaceae. The record is from Rfam.